AUGGCGAACAAGGGGGGUUCUUCGGCGUUGGGAGACAAGGCCAAGGGAAAGAUUGAUGAUCUCAUGAAGGAGUUGGCGUUGGGAGAAGAUGAUCUGGACGAUGUGAUAUUUGAAGAAGAUGAUGCACCACCAGCAGAUGAUCUCCGAUGGAUGGUCUUGGUCAGGGUGCACAUGGAUAAGGGCUUCAGCACGUACUGGUUCUUCCGCAAUAUGAGGUCGGCUUGGGAUCUGGCAAGGACAGUAAAGAUCAAAACCCUAGAGGACAAUUUGUUUAUCAUGCAGUUUAACUGCCUAGGGGAUUGGGAG
This 306-nucleotide ribosomal RNA is filed under the name Triticum aestivum (bread wheat). Its description in RNAcentral is "partial small subunit ribosomal RNA". Lineage: Eukaryota; Viridiplantae; Streptophyta; Magnoliopsida; Poales; Poaceae. The record is from RNAcentral.